UUAUAUCGUUCCGCAAGACGAAUUUCCCUAUGGGCUUGCUUCGCAAGACGAAACGUCUUGCGAGUUCUUACGGGUUUGUUUCCUUUUUCUUAAAGCCGCUAAGCCGCUAAGCCGUUAAUAGCCGCUAAGCUGCUAAGCCGUUAAUAGCCGCUAAGCCGCUAAUAGCCGUGCUUUGCAAGACGAAAAAACCACAAGACGAAGAGACUCGCGGAACGGAUUAAUUUCGUCUUGCGAGGCAGCACUGUAUGUUAAGAUAACUUAAAUAGAAUUACUUGCACGUAUCAGGUUGGCCUAGGAUUUAAAUAUGUGAUGUUAUAGAAUAAUAUGUUUAAAGUUAAAAUGAAAAGAAAGAAAGAGGUUAAUUGACAAUGUAAAUUUUAGGUGAAAUUAGUUUUGGAAAACUGCUACAAUGAUAUAUAUGGAAAUUCAGCCAGGGGGAUUCGAGCAAGUGAGACAGGAUUAUUGGAACGAUAUGCAAAGUUUGCCAGCUGGGGAGUUUGACCAAUACAUGAAGGACAAGAGGGAAAUGUGAACACAGCUAGGCACUAAAAUAUCAAGAGUGUCCUUUAGAAAACCAGACAGCCCCAGGGGGAUUCGGGAAAGUGAGCUAACUGCCUUGCGUGAGCCAUCCCACAGUGUUUAAAGUGAACCUUUGGCGCCAAGCUUCUGAAAAAAGAGAGAACUUGCUAAUUUCUACAGCUGCUUCACAGCCCCCGGUGCCAAGGUUGACAUCAGUCACAUUUUGCUAGCUACUUGCAUUUAAAGCAGUUUGUGAAAUUUUGAUGUUAACUCACACCAAGGCAGCUUAUGCAGUCCCAAAGCAGAACUAAAAAAAAACCACCUCCCAAACCCUAGUAAAGAAUAGAACCAAGCAAAAGAAGCAUUAGCUUGCUUGUGGAAACUGUUUAUUGACUGACAAGAGGGAAGAGUGAAGGCCACACGACUCAUAAUCCCCAAUCAAGCCUGCCGAGACCCUGGCAUUUUGAUUGCCGCAAAUGAGACAUACUUCUUGAUUGAAACAAGCAGCGCUUUUGCAGUCAAAGAUUAAAAUGGGUGGAGCUCCCAGGCUGUCUGAAUUUACACAUCGCACCUUUGAAAGCUGGCAUGCCAUAAGGGUUCAAUUUCUUUUACUUCCACCCCUGUAGACCAAGAGCAAUGGGUGCACCUCCUAAGGUUCUUCUUCCGCAGUCUAAGCCAAGAACGCCAUGUAAAUGGGUCGUCUCACUGCAAAACGCAGUGACUUAAUUGCCUCCAAUCAAUUUAAGAAACAAACCAGUAUAAUCUAUUAAUUUUUCAAAUGAAGGUUUUACAGCAGUUAAUGUAGCAUGAAGGUUAAAAAAAUCAUUUUCAUAAAAUACAAGAGCAACCAAUUUCACCAUUAA
RNAcentral lists this long non-coding RNA (1382 nucleotides) under Podarcis muralis (Common wall lizard). RNAcentral describes it as "lncRNA (ENSPMRG00000000490.1)". Lineage: Eukaryota; Metazoa; Chordata; Lepidosauria; Squamata; Lacertidae. The record is from RNAcentral.